This is a long non-coding RNA of Phyllopteryx taeniolatus (common seadragon), 22559 nucleotides long. RefSeq lists it as uncharacterized. The transcript has 2 exons. The record is from RefSeq and is a predicted model, not a curated record. NCBI's taxonomy places the organism in Eukaryota, Metazoa, Chordata, Actinopteri, Syngnathiformes, Syngnathidae.
UUAAUCAGCAAAUAACAACUUACUCUAACCUCUUCCUAAACUUAACCAAUUCAAAAAUGGACUAUCUCAAACUGAGGGUCCUAACCCUAAAAUUGAUCUACGCCAGUUAAAUUACUGGGGGAUGGCCGUGGGGAUCCGGGAGGAAGGUGACCGGGCUCAAGGCCCAUCGGGGUCCCUCUCAUGCUCACAUGCUCGGCCCAUAGCCCUCUAGCCCCAACCGCUGCCCCUGAACGCUUUUUCGCUACAUAUUAUCGCAAGCUAAGACCUAGACCUCAGUGGAAGAGUCAAAGACGGGCACUUGCAGGGAGUCGGUGCUGGUAGUCCGAAGGCCAUCCAAGCGGGAUGUAGUUGCCGGACCAGACCGUGAAAUUUAAUUGGAUAUUAGAUCAGGCGAACAGGACCAGUAUGGAGGGUGUUGUUGGUUGUGGGUUGGGUCAAGGAAGAAGGGGGUAGAGGGGGUUUCCCGCUGGCUCCUUUGUGGUCCGGACACCUCACCCUUCCCAGGACCUAACCAUAACCACUCGCCCCGGGAACUUAUGCAGUCGUAGAAUCGGUGCAUCACCUCCAAAAUAGGGUACCGUAGAGCCCAAAAUGAGGACUAAAAUAAGGGAUGGACAACUUAUCCAGCAUGGUCAAACCAGCGUUUCCAAGAGGAGAAACGCUGGGUCGGAUAAACUUAACCAAUUUGAAAAUGGACUAUCUCAAACCGAGGGUCCUAAUCCUAAAAUUGAUAUUUGGAAUACUUACCUGUUUGGAUUUAAAAACAAGAGCUGACGUCAUCGCAAAAGGAUGGUGAAGAACCGCCUCCCCAAAAAACUAAGAUCAGCCAUUGGAUCAUUGACCCGGAAGCGUAGUCACGUGGUCUAAAAAUAAAAGUAGGCGGAGACUCGGCCGCCCCCACCAUUUUGCCCAGCUGCUCGACGAGAGAGAAAAACAUCUCCUUAGCCGCUGAAGCCAACAUAAACAGUAAGACGGUUAAUUAACCACUUCACUAAUAAUAAUUAUUCGCUUCUUUACUUAUUUUUCAUGGUGCCCAAGCCUGAGGAAGACCCUAGAAGGUCGAAACGUCGCGACGGGCACUUUAUAGCGCUUCCUUUUUUUUCCUUUUUUUCUCCGUUUGGAAAUGACCUCAUUUGGUUACUUCUCGCCACUAGAGGGCAAUACAGCCCCGUACAUUACACAGGACACACAUAGGCCAAGAAGGGCACUCACACAAAAAGACAACACGUCGUUCUUUCUCUCUCUUUUUUCUUUCUUUAAUCAAAAACCAAGACUAAGAAAAGUGGAUAACAGUAAUAAAAAUAAGAAUACAUUUAUAGAAAAGAAAAACACAAAACAGCCUAAACAAAGGAGGUGACUCAAAAAAAGCAAAAACGUGCUGAAUAAAUAAAUAAAUAAAUAAACAACAAACCAAAAACAGCGUAAACAAAGGAGGUGACUCAAAAAAAAGCAAAAACGUGCCGAAUAAACAAGUCAAUAAACAACAAACCAAGCUUGGGAAUGAUGAAAGGACAAGUGGUUCGCUGUGGGCGAAGACACGCCCGGACUGACCCUAAAGCCAAGAGGUGCAGAUUCGGGGACCAACCGCCUCGGCACCGGGAGGGACGAGAACACUGGGGGAUGGACUGUGCAUUACCUCCUCCCAACAUAACGGGAGGAGAGAUCUUAUCGCUCGCCCUAACCAGCCCGUGCCUCUCCUGGUGUCCACGUUCUCGUUCUGACCGGUCCGGGGCCCGGUUUGGUCCCCCACUCCGCUCUGAUUCGUCGGUAGUCCAAACUGGACGCCCUAAAAAUAACAAAACACAUGGUGGAGAAUUCAACCUCCUAGACAAUUUAUAUCACCGAGUCCGAAUGCGCAGAACUUAUGCAGUCGUAGAAUCGGUGCAUCACCUCCAAAAUAGGGUACCGUAGAGCCCAAAAUGAGGACUAAAAUAAAGGAUGGACAACUUAUCCAGCAUGGUCAAACCAGCGUUUCCAAGAGGAGAAACGCUGGGUCGGAUCAUGGACAAUGCCAAAGGUUGGGGAACCGGGACGGAAGCCCAGCAGACCGACAGGAGGCUGAGUCGGCGAUCGCAACACCCGCAUCGGAAUCGACCGCGAGGGACGAGGAGAACACAAAUACAGUGACCUCGCUGCCAGUCUCAAAACCAGCUUCAGCUGCACAGCAGCAGGACAUCACGACGGCUGCGCCGACAUCGGAGGCCUCUCCCUCCACUGCCGCGAGGGGGGAUGGGAGUCCCCGAUCCGGUGCAACCCAGGACAACCCAACCACCGCCACAGUGGACUUUGACCCGCAAUAGACGGGGGAUGACAGCUACGGAAAAGACUGAGACGAUUGGAAUUGCCAGGUGAGAGCCCUCACGCAAAAAAACAUUGACUCCUACCUUUUUCGUUCCUUAAAGGGAUGCUACCCGAGCCAAGCCACGACAACCAAUCCUCAAAAAAAGUCCAAAGACAUUUGAGAAAGAAACAGUCUAACAACUAAUCCUAAACCUCUUCCUAAACUUAACCAAUCUCGAGUAUGAGCCCUAACCAUAAUCUUGGUCCCAGCGCCGAUUUUAGGCCUUUGUCGAAGCUUAAUCAGCAAAUAACAACUUACUCUAACCUCUUCCUAAACUUAACCAAUUCAAAAAUGGACUAUCUCAAACUGAGGGUCCUAACCCUAAAAUUGAUCUACGCCAGUUAAAUUACUGGGGGAUGGCCGUGGGGAUCCGGGAGGAAGGUGACCGGGCUCAAGGCCCAUCGGGGUCCCUCUCAUGCUCACAUGCUCGGCCCAUAGCCCUCUAGCCCCAACCGCUGCCCCUGAACGCUUUUUCGCUACAUAUUAUCGCAAGCUAAGACCUAGACCUCAGUGGAAGAGUCAAAGACGGGCACUUGCAGGGAGUCGGUGCUGGUAGUCCGAAGGCCAUCCAAGCGGGAUGUAGUUGCCGGACCAGACCGUGAAAUUUAAUUGGAUAUUAGAUCAGGCGAACAGGACCAGUAUGGAGGGUGUUGUUGGUUGUGGGUUGGGUCAAGGAAGAAGGGGGUAGAGGGGGUUUCCCGCUGGCUCCUUUGUGGUCCGGACACCUCACCCUUCCCAGGACCUAACCAUAACCACUCGCCCCGGGAACUUAUGCAGUCGUAGAAUCGGUGCAUCACCUCCAAAAUAGGGUACCGUAGAGCCCAAAAUGAGGACUAAAAUAAGGGAUGGACAACUUAUCCAGCAUGGUCAAACCAGCGUUUCCAAGAGGAGAAACGCUGGGUCGGAUAAACUUAACCAAUUUGAAAAUGGACUAUCUCAAACCGAGGGUCCUAAUCCUAAAAUUGAUAUUUGGAAUACUUACCUGUUUGGAUUUAAAAACAAGAGCUGACGUCAUCGCAAAAGGAUGGUGAAGAACCGCCUCCCCAAAAAACUAAGAUCAGCCAUUGGAUCAUUGACCCGGAAGCGUAGUCACGUGGUCUAAAAAUAAAAGUAGGCGGAGACUCGGCCGCCCCCACCAUUUUGCCCAGCUGCUCGACGAGAGAGAAAAACAUCUCCUUAGCCGCUGAAGCCAACAUAAACAGUAAGACGGUUAAUUAACCACUUCACUAAUAAUAAUUAUUCGCUUCUUUACUUAUUUUUCAUGGUGCCCAAGCCUGAGGAAGACCCUAGAAGGUCGAAACGUCGCGACGGGCACUUUAUAGCGCUUCCUUUUUUUUCCUUUUUUUCUCCGUUUGGAAAUGACCUCAUUUGGUUACUUCUCGCCACUAGAGGGCAAUACAGCCCCGUACAUUACACAGGACACACAUAGGCCAAGAAGGGCACUCACACAAAAAGACAACACGUCGUUCUUUCUCUCUCUUUUUUCUUUCUUUAAUCAAAAACCAAGACUAAGAAAAGUGGAUAACAGUAAUAAAAAUAAGAAUACAUUUAUAGAAAAGAAAAACACAAAACAGCCUAAACAAAGGAGGUGACUCAAAAAAAGCAAAAACGUGCUGAAUAAAUAAAUAAAUAAAUAAACAACAAACCAAAAACAGCGUAAACAAAGGAGGUGACUCAAAAAAAAGCAAAAACGUGCCGAAUAAACAAGUCAAUAAACAACAAACCAAGCUUGGGAAUGAUGAAAGGACAAGUGGUUCGCUGUGGGCGAAGACACGCCCGGACUGACCCUAAAGCCAAGAGGUGCAGAUUCGGGGACCAACCGCCUCGGCACCGGGAGGGACGAGAACACUGGGGGAUGGACUGUGCAUUACCUCCUCCCAACAUAACGGGAGGAGAGAUCUUAUCGCUCGCCCUAACCAGCCCGUGCCUCUCCUGGUGUCCACGUUCUCGUUCUGACCGGUCCGGGGCCCGGUUUGGUCCCCCACUCCGCUCUGAUUCGUCGGUAGUCCAAACUGGACGCCCUAAAAAUAACAAAACACAUGGUGGAGAAUUCAACCUCCUAGACAAUUUAUAUCACCGAGUCCGAAUGCGCAGAACUUAUGCAGUCGUAGAAUCGGUGCAUCACCUCCAAAAUAGGGUACCGUAGAGCCCAAAAUGAGGACUAAAAUAAAGGAUGGACAACUUAUCCAGCAUGGUCAAACCAGCGUUUCCAAGAGGAGAAACGCUGGGUCGGAUCAUGGACAAUGCCAAAGGUUGGGGAACCGGGACGGAAGCCCAGCAGACCGACAGGAGGCUGAGUCGGCGAUCGCAACACCCGCAUCGGAAUCGACCGCGAGGGACGAGGAGAACACAAAUACAGUGACCUCGCUGCCAGUCUCAAAACCAGCUUCAGCUGCACAGCAGCAGGACAUCACGACGGCUGCGCCGACAUCGGAGGCCUCUCCCUCCACUGCCGCGAGGGGGGAUGGGAGUCCCCGAUCCGGUGCAACCCAGGACAACCCAACCACCGCCACAGUGGACUUUGACCCGCAAUAGACGGGGGAUGACAGCUACGGAAAAGACUGAGACGAUUGGAAUUGCCAGGUGAGAGCCCUCACGCAAAAAAACAUUGACUCCUACCUUUUUCGUUCCUUAAAGGGAUGCUACCCGAGCCAAGCCACGACAACCAAUCCUCAAAAAAAGUCCAAAGACAUUUGAGAAAGAAACAGUCUAACAACUAAUCCUAAACCUCUUCCUAAACUUAACCAAUCUCGAGUAUGAGCCCUAACCAUAAUCUUGGUCCCAGCGCCGAUUUUAGGCCUUUGUCGAAGCUUAAUCAGCAAAUAACAACUUACUCUAACCUCUUCCUAAACUUAACCAAUUCAAAAAUGGACUAUCUCAAACUGAGGGUCCUAACCCUAAAAUUGAUCUACGCCAGUUAAAUUACUGGGGGAUGGCCGUGGGGAUCCGGGAGGAAGGUGACCGGGCUCAAGGCCCAUCGGGGUCCCUCUCAUGCUCACAUGCUCGGCCCAUAGCCCUCUAGCCCCAACCGCUGCCCCUGAACGCUUUUUCGCUACAUAUUAUCGCAAGCUAAGACCUAGACCUCAGUGGAAGAGUCAAAGACGGGCACUUGCAGGGAGUCGGUGCUGGUAGUCCGAAGGCCAUCCAAGCGGGAUGUAGUUGCCGGACCAGACCGUGAAAUUUAAUUGGAUAUUAGAUCAGGCGAACAGGACCAGUAUGGAGGGUGUUGUUGGUUGUGGGUUGGGUCAAGGAAGAAGGGGGUAGAGGGGGUUUCCCGCUGGCUCCUUUGUGGUCCGGACACCUCACCCUUCCCAGGACCUAACCAUAACCACUCGCCCCGGGAACUUAUGCAGUCGUAGAAUCGGUGCAUCACCUCCAAAAUAGGGUACCGUAGAGCCCAAAAUGAGGACUAAAAUAAGGGAUGGACAACUUAUCCAGCAUGGUCAAACCAGCGUUUCCAAGAGGAGAAACGCUGGGUCGGAUAAACUUAACCAAUUUGAAAAUGGACUAUCUCAAACCGAGGGUCCUAAUCCUAAAAUUGAUAUUUGGAAUACUUACCUGUUUGGAUUUAAAAACAAGAGCUGACGUCAUCGCAAAAGGAUGGUGAAGAACCGCCUCCCCAAAAAACUAAGAUCAGCCAUUGGAUCAUUGACCCGGAAGCGUAGUCACGUGGUCUAAAAAUAAAAGUAGGCGGAGACUCGGCCGCCCCCACCAUUUUGCCCAGCUGCUCGACGAGAGAGAAAAACAUCUCCUUAGCCGCUGAAGCCAACAUAAACAGUAAGACGGUUAAUUAACCACUUCACUAAUAAUAAUUAUUCGCUUCUUUACUUAUUUUUCAUGGUGCCCAAGCCUGAGGAAGACCCUAGAAGGUCGAAACGUCGCGACGGGCACUUUAUAGCGCUUCCUUUUUUUUCCUUUUUUUCUCCGUUUGGAAAUGACCUCAUUUGGUUACUUCUCGCCACUAGAGGGCAAUACAGCCCCGUACAUUACACAGGACACACAUAGGCCAAGAAGGGCACUCACACAAAAAGACAACACGUCGUUCUUUCUCUCUCUUUUUUCUUUCUUUAAUCAAAAACCAAGACUAAGAAAAGUGGAUAACAGUAAUAAAAAUAAGAAUACAUUUAUAGAAAAGAAAAACACAAAACAGCCUAAACAAAGGAGGUGACUCAAAAAAAGCAAAAACGUGCUGAAUAAAUAAAUAAAUAAAUAAACAACAAACCAAAAACAGCGUAAACAAAGGAGGUGACUCAAAAAAAAGCAAAAACGUGCCGAAUAAACAAGUCAAUAAACAACAAACCAAGCUUGGGAAUGAUGAAAGGACAAGUGGUUCGCUGUGGGCGAAGACACGCCCGGACUGACCCUAAAGCCAAGAGGUGCAGAUUCGGGGACCAACCGCCUCGGCACCGGGAGGGACGAGAACACUGGGGGAUGGACUGUGCAUUACCUCCUCCCAACAUAACGGGAGGAGAGAUCUUAUCGCUCGCCCUAACCAGCCCGUGCCUCUCCUGGUGUCCACGUUCUCGUUCUGACCGGUCCGGGGCCCGGUUUGGUCCCCCACUCCGCUCUGAUUCGUCGGUAGUCCAAACUGGACGCCCUAAAAAUAACAAAACACAUGGUGGAGAAUUCAACCUCCUAGACAAUUUAUAUCACCGAGUCCGAAUGCGCAGAACUUAUGCAGUCGUAGAAUCGGUGCAUCACCUCCAAAAUAGGGUACCGUAGAGCCCAAAAUGAGGACUAAAAUAAAGGAUGGACAACUUAUCCAGCAUGGUCAAACCAGCGUUUCCAAGAGGAGAAACGCUGGGUCGGAUCAUGGACAAUGCCAAAGGUUGGGGAACCGGGACGGAAGCCCAGCAGACCGACAGGAGGCUGAGUCGGCGAUCGCAACACCCGCAUCGGAAUCGACCGCGAGGGACGAGGAGAACACAAAUACAGUGACCUCGCUGCCAGUCUCAAAACCAGCUUCAGCUGCACAGCAGCAGGACAUCACGACGGCUGCGCCGACAUCGGAGGCCUCUCCCUCCACUGCCGCGAGGGGGGAUGGGAGUCCCCGAUCCGGUGCAACCCAGGACAACCCAACCACCGCCACAGUGGACUUUGACCCGCAAUAGACGGGGGAUGACAGCUACGGAAAAGACUGAGACGAUUGGAAUUGCCAGGUGAGAGCCCUCACGCAAAAAAACAUUGACUCCUACCUUUUUCGUUCCUUAAAGGGAUGCUACCCGAGCCAAGCCACGACAACCAAUCCUCAAAAAAAGUCCAAAGACAUUUGAGAAAGAAACAGUCUAACAACUAAUCCUAAACCUCUUCCUAAACUUAACCAAUCUCGAGUAUGAGCCCUAACCAUAAUCUUGGUCCCAGCGCCGAUUUUAGGCCUUUGUCGAAGCUUAAUCAGCAAAUAACAACUUACUCUAACCUCUUCCUAAACUUAACCAAUUCAAAAAUGGACUAUCUCAAACUGAGGGUCCUAACCCUAAAAUUGAUCUACGCCAGUUAAAUUACUGGGGGAUGGCCGUGGGGAUCCGGGAGGAAGGUGACCGGGCUCAAGGCCCAUCGGGGUCCCUCUCAUGCUCACAUGCUCGGCCCAUAGCCCUCUAGCCCCAACCGCUGCCCCUGAACGCUUUUUCGCUACAUAUUAUCGCAAGCUAAGACCUAGACCUCAGUGGAAGAGUCAAAGACGGGCACUUGCAGGGAGUCGGUGCUGGUAGUCCGAAGGCCAUCCAAGCGGGAUGUAGUUGCCGGACCAGACCGUGAAAUUUAAUUGGAUAUUAGAUCAGGCGAACAGGACCAGUAUGGAGGGUGUUGUUGGUUGUGGGUUGGGUCAAGGAAGAAGGGGGUAGAGGGGGUUUCCCGCUGGCUCCUUUGUGGUCCGGACACCUCACCCUUCCCAGGACCUAACCAUAACCACUCGCCCCGGGAACUUAUGCAGUCGUAGAAUCGGUGCAUCACCUCCAAAAUAGGGUACCGUAGAGCCCAAAAUGAGGACUAAAAUAAGGGAUGGACAACUUAUCCAGCAUGGUCAAACCAGCGUUUCCAAGAGGAGAAACGCUGGGUCGGAUAAACUUAACCAAUUUGAAAAUGGACUAUCUCAAACCGAGGGUCCUAAUCCUAAAAUUGAUAUUUGGAAUACUUACCUGUUUGGAUUUAAAAACAAGAGCUGACGUCAUCGCAAAAGGAUGGUGAAGAACCGCCUCCCCAAAAAACUAAGAUCAGCCAUUGGAUCAUUGACCCGGAAGCGUAGUCACGUGGUCUAAAAAUAAAAGUAGGCGGAGACUCGGCCGCCCCCACCAUUUUGCCCAGCUGCUCGACGAGAGAGAAAAACAUCUCCUUAGCCGCUGAAGCCAACAUAAACAGUAAGACGGUUAAUUAACCACUUCACUAAUAAUAAUUAUUCGCUUCUUUACUUAUUUUUCAUGGUGCCCAAGCCUGAGGAAGACCCUAGAAGGUCGAAACGUCGCGACGGGCACUUUAUAGCGCUUCCUUUUUUUUCCUUUUUUUCUCCGUUUGGAAAUGACCUCAUUUGGUUACUUCUCGCCACUAGAGGGCAAUACAGCCCCGUACAUUACACAGGACACACAUAGGCCAAGAAGGGCACUCACACAAAAAGACAACACGUCGUUCUUUCUCUCUCUUUUUUCUUUCUUUAAUCAAAAACCAAGACUAAGAAAAGUGGAUAACAGUAAUAAAAAUAAGAAUACAUUUAUAGAAAAGAAAAACACAAAACAGCCUAAACAAAGGAGGUGACUCAAAAAAAGCAAAAACGUGCUGAAUAAAUAAAUAAAUAAAUAAACAACAAACCAAAAACAGCGUAAACAAAGGAGGUGACUCAAAAAAAAGCAAAAACGUGCCGAAUAAACAAGUCAAUAAACAACAAACCAAGCUUGGGAAUGAUGAAAGGACAAGUGGUUCGCUGUGGGCGAAGACACGCCCGGACUGACCCUAAAGCCAAGAGGUGCAGAUUCGGGGACCAACCGCCUCGGCACCGGGAGGGACGAGAACACUGGGGGAUGGACUGUGCAUUACCUCCUCCCAACAUAACGGGAGGAGAGAUCUUAUCGCUCGCCCUAACCAGCCCGUGCCUCUCCUGGUGUCCACGUUCUCGUUCUGACCGGUCCGGGGCCCGGUUUGGUCCCCCACUCCGCUCUGAUUCGUCGGUAGUCCAAACUGGACGCCCUAAAAAUAACAAAACACAUGGUGGAGAAUUCAACCUCCUAGACAAUUUAUAUCACCGAGUCCGAAUGCGCAGAACUUAUGCAGUCGUAGAAUCGGUGCAUCACCUCCAAAAUAGGGUACCGUAGAGCCCAAAAUGAGGACUAAAAUAAAGGAUGGACAACUUAUCCAGCAUGGUCAAACCAGCGUUUCCAAGAGGAGAAACGCUGGGUCGGAUCAUGGACAAUGCCAAAGGUUGGGGAACCGGGACGGAAGCCCAGCAGACCGACAGGAGGCUGAGUCGGCGAUCGCAACACCCGCAUCGGAAUCGACCGCGAGGGACGAGGAGAACACAAAUACAGUGACCUCGCUGCCAGUCUCAAAACCAGCUUCAGCUGCACAGCAGCAGGACAUCACGACGGCUGCGCCGACAUCGGAGGCCUCUCCCUCCACUGCCGCGAGGGGGGAUGGGAGUCCCCGAUCCGGUGCAACCCAGGACAACCCAACCACCGCCACAGUGGACUUUGACCCGCAAUAGACGGGGGAUGACAGCUACGGAAAAGACUGAGACGAUUGGAAUUGCCAGGUGAGAGCCCUCACGCAAAAAAACAUUGACUCCUACCUUUUUCGUUCCUUAAAGGGAUGCUACCCGAGCCAAGCCACGACAACCAAUCCUCAAAAAAAGUCCAAAGACAUUUGAGAAAGAAACAGUCUAACAACUAAUCCUAAACCUCUUCCUAAACUUAACCAAUCUCGAGUAUGAGCCCUAACCAUAAUCUUGGUCCCAGCGCCGAUUUUAGGCCUUUGUCGAAGCUUAAUCAGCAAAUAACAACUUACUCUAACCUCUUCCUAAACUUAACCAAUUCAAAAAUGGACUAUCUCAAACUGAGGGUCCUAACCCUAAAAUUGAUCUACGCCAGUUAAAUUACUGGGGGAUGGCCGUGGGGAUCCGGGAGGAAGGUGACCGGGCUCAAGGCCCAUCGGGGUCCCUCUCAUGCUCACAUGCUCGGCCCAUAGCCCUCUAGCCCCAACCGCUGCCCCUGAACGCUUUUUCGCUACAUAUUAUCGCAAGCUAAGACCUAGACCUCAGUGGAAGAGUCAAAGACGGGCACUUGCAGGGAGUCGGUGCUGGUAGUCCGAAGGCCAUCCAAGCGGGAUGUAGUUGCCGGACCAGACCGUGAAAUUUAAUUGGAUAUUAGAUCAGGCGAACAGGACCAGUAUGGAGGGUGUUGUUGGUUGUGGGUUGGGUCAAGGAAGAAGGGGGUAGAGGGGGUUUCCCGCUGGCUCCUUUGUGGUCCGGACACCUCACCCUUCCCAGGACCUAACCAUAACCACUCGCCCCGGGAACUUAUGCAGUCGUAGAAUCGGUGCAUCACCUCCAAAAUAGGGUACCGUAGAGCCCAAAAUGAGGACUAAAAUAAGGGAUGGACAACUUAUCCAGCAUGGUCAAACCAGCGUUUCCAAGAGGAGAAACGCUGGGUCGGAUAAACUUAACCAAUUUGAAAAUGGACUAUCUCAAACCGAGGGUCCUAAUCCUAAAAUUGAUAUUUGGAAUACUUACCUGUUUGGAUUUAAAAACAAGAGCUGACGUCAUCGCAAAAGGAUGGUGAAGAACCGCCUCCCCAAAAAACUAAGAUCAGCCAUUGGAUCAUUGACCCGGAAGCGUAGUCACGUGGUCUAAAAAUAAAAGUAGGCGGAGACUCGGCCGCCCCCACCAUUUUGCCCAGCUGCUCGACGAGAGAGAAAAACAUCUCCUUAGCCGCUGAAGCCAACAUAAACAGUAAGACGGUUAAUUAACCACUUCACUAAUAAUAAUUAUUCGCUUCUUUACUUAUUUUUCAUGGUGCCCAAGCCUGAGGAAGACCCUAGAAGGUCGAAACGUCGCGACGGGCACUUUAUAGCGCUUCCUUUUUUUUCCUUUUUUUCUCCGUUUGGAAAUGACCUCAUUUGGUUACUUCUCGCCACUAGAGGGCAAUACAGCCCCGUACAUUACACAGGACACACAUAGGCCAAGAAGGGCACUCACACAAAAAGACAACACGUCGUUCUUUCUCUCUCUUUUUUCUUUCUUUAAUCAAAAACCAAGACUAAGAAAAGUGGAUAACAGUAAUAAAAAUAAGAAUACAUUUAUAGAAAAGAAAAACACAAAACAGCCUAAACAAAGGAGGUGACUCAAAAAAAGCAAAAACGUGCUGAAUAAAUAAAUAAAUAAAUAAACAACAAACCAAAAACAGCGUAAACAAAGGAGGUGACUCAAAAAAAAGCAAAAACGUGCCGAAUAAACAAGUCAAUAAACAACAAACCAAGCUUGGGAAUGAUGAAAGGACAAGUGGUUCGCUGUGGGCGAAGACACGCCCGGACUGACCCUAAAGCCAAGAGGUGCAGAUUCGGGGACCAACCGCCUCGGCACCGGGAGGGACGAGAACACUGGGGGAUGGACUGUGCAUUACCUCCUCCCAACAUAACGGGAGGAGAGAUCUUAUCGCUCGCCCUAACCAGCCCGUGCCUCUCCUGGUGUCCACGUUCUCGUUCUGACCGGUCCGGGGCCCGGUUUGGUCCCCCACUCCGCUCUGAUUCGUCGGUAGUCCAAACUGGACGCCCUAAAAAUAACAAAACACAUGGUGGAGAAUUCAACCUCCUAGACAAUUUAUAUCACCGAGUCCGAAUGCGCAGAACUUAUGCAGUCGUAGAAUCGGUGCAUCACCUCCAAAAUAGGGUACCGUAGAGCCCAAAAUGAGGACUAAAAUAAAGGAUGGACAACUUAUCCAGCAUGGUCAAACCAGCGUUUCCAAGAGGAGAAACGCUGGGUCGGAUCAUGGACAAUGCCAAAGGUUGGGGAACCGGGACGGAAGCCCAGCAGACCGACAGGAGGCUGAGUCGGCGAUCGCAACACCCGCAUCGGAAUCGACCGCGAGGGACGAGGAGAACACAAAUACAGUGACCUCGCUGCCAGUCUCAAAACCAGCUUCAGCUGCACAGCAGCAGGACAUCACGACGGCUGCGCCGACAUCGGAGGCCUCUCCCUCCACUGCCGCGAGGGGGGAUGGGAGUCCCCGAUCCGGUGCAACCCAGGACAACCCAACCACCGCCACAGUGGACUUUGACCCGCAAUAGACGGGGGAUGACAGCUACGGAAAAGACUGAGACGAUUGGAAUUGCCAGGUGAGAGCCCUCACGCAAAAAAACAUUGACUCCUACCUUUUUCGUUCCUUAAAGGGAUGCUACCCGAGCCAAGCCACGACAACCAAUCCUCAAAAAAAGUCCAAAGACAUUUGAGAAAGAAACAGUCUAACAACUAAUCCUAAACCUCUUCCUAAACUUAACCAAUCUCGAGUAUGAGCCCUAACCAUAAUCUUGGUCCCAGCGCCGAUUUUAGGCCUUUGUCGAAGCUUAAUCAGCAAAUAACAACUUACUCUAACCUCUUCCUAAACUUAACCAAUUCAAAAAUGGACUAUCUCAAACUGAGGGUCCUAACCCUAAAAUUGAUCUACGCCAGUUAAAUUACUGGGGGAUGGCCGUGGGGAUCCGGGAGGAAGGUGACCGGGCUCAAGGCCCAUCGGGGUCCCUCUCAUGCUCACAUGCUCGGCCCAUAGCCCUCUAGCCCCAACCGCUGCCCCUGAACGCUUUUUCGCUACAUAUUAUCGCAAGCUAAGACCUAGACCUCAGUGGAAGAGUCAAAGACGGGCACUUGCAGGGAGUCGGUGCUGGUAGUCCGAAGGCCAUCCAAGCGGGAUGUAGUUGCCGGACCAGACCGUGAAAUUUAAUUGGAUAUUAGAUCAGGCGAACAGGACCAGUAUGGAGGGUGUUGUUGGUUGUGGGUUGGGUCAAGGAAGAAGGGGGUAGAGGGGGUUUCCCGCUGGCUCCUUUGUGGUCCGGACACCUCACCCUUCCCAGGACCUAACCAUAACCACUCGCCCCGGGAACUUAUGCAGUCGUAGAAUCGGUGCAUCACCUCCAAAAUAGGGUACCGUAGAGCCCAAAAUGAGGACUAAAAUAAGGGAUGGACAACUUAUCCAGCAUGGUCAAACCAGCGUUUCCAAGAGGAGAAACGCUGGGUCGGAUAAACUUAACCAAUUUGAAAAUGGACUAUCUCAAACCGAGGGUCCUAAUCCUAAAAUUGAUAUUUGGAAUACUUACCUGUUUGGAUUUAAAAACAAGAGCUGACGUCAUCGCAAAAGGAUGGUGAAGAACCGCCUCCCCAAAAAACUAAGAUCAGCCAUUGGAUCAUUGACCCGGAAGCGUAGUCACGUGGUCUAAAAAUAAAAGUAGGCGGAGACUCGGCCGCCCCCACCAUUUUGCCCAGCUGCUCGACGAGAGAGAAAAACAUCUCCUUAGCCGCUGAAGCCAACAUAAACAGUAAGACGGUUAAUUAACCACUUCACUAAUAAUAAUUAUUCGCUUCUUUACUUAUUUUUCAUGGUGCCCAAGCCUGAGGAAGACCCUAGAAGGUCGAAACGUCGCGACGGGCACUUUAUAGCGCUUCCUUUUUUUUCCUUUUUUUCUCCGUUUGGAAAUGACCUCAUUUGGUUACUUCUCGCCACUAGAGGGCAAUACAGCCCCGUACAUUACACAGGACACACAUAGGCCAAGAAGGGCACUCACACAAAAAGACAACACGUCGUUCUUUCUCUCUCUUUUUUCUUUCUUUAAUCAAAAACCAAGACUAAGAAAAGUGGAUAACAGUAAUAAAAAUAAGAAUACAUUUAUAGAAAAGAAAAACACAAAACAGCCUAAACAAAGGAGGUGACUCAAAAAAAGCAAAAACGUGCUGAAUAAAUAAAUAAAUAAAUAAACAACAAACCAAAAACAGCGUAAACAAAGGAGGUGACUCAAAAAAAAGCAAAAACGUGCCGAAUAAACAAGUCAAUAAACAACAAACCAAGCUUGGGAAUGAUGAAAGGACAAGUGGUUCGCUGUGGGCGAAGACACGCCCGGACUGACCCUAAAGCCAAGAGGUGCAGAUUCGGGGACCAACCGCCUCGGCACCGGGAGGGACGAGAACACUGGGGGAUGGACUGUGCAUUACCUCCUCCCAACAUAACGGGAGGAGAGAUCUUAUCGCUCGCCCUAACCAGCCCGUGCCUCUCCUGGUGUCCACGUUCUCGUUCUGACCGGUCCGGGGCCCGGUUUGGUCCCCCACUCCGCUCUGAUUCGUCGGUAGUCCAAACUGGACGCCCUAAAAAUAACAAAACACAUGGUGGAGAAUUCAACCUCCUAGACAAUUUAUAUCACCGAGUCCGAAUGCGCAGAACUUAUGCAGUCGUAGAAUCGGUGCAUCACCUCCAAAAUAGGGUACCGUAGAGCCCAAAAUGAGGACUAAAAUAAAGGAUGGACAACUUAUCCAGCAUGGUCAAACCAGCGUUUCCAAGAGGAGAAACGCUGGGUCGGAUCAUGGACAAUGCCAAAGGUUGGGGAACCGGGACGGAAGCCCAGCAGACCGACAGGAGGCUGAGUCGGCGAUCGCAACACCCGCAUCGGAAUCGACCGCGAGGGACGAGGAGAACACAAAUACAGUGACCUCGCUGCCAGUCUCAAAACCAGCUUCAGCUGCACAGCAGCAGGACAUCACGACGGCUGCGCCGACAUCGGAGGCCUCUCCCUCCACUGCCGCGAGGGGGGAUGGGAGUCCCCGAUCCGGUGCAACCCAGGACAACCCAACCACCGCCACAGUGGACUUUGACCCGCAAUAGACGGGGGAUGACAGCUACGGAAAAGACUGAGACGAUUGGAAUUGCCAGGUGAGAGCCCUCACGCAAAAAAACAUUGACUCCUACCUUUUUCGUUCCUUAAAGGGAUGCUACCCGAGCCAAGCCACGACAACCAAUCCUCAAAAAAAGUCCAAAGACAUUUGAGAAAGAAACAGUCUAACAACUAAUCCUAAACCUCUUCCUAAACUUAACCAAUCUCGAGUAUGAGCCCUAACCAUAAUCUUGGUCCCAGCGCCGAUUUUAGGCCUUUGUCGAAGCUUAAUCAGCAAAUAACAACUUACUCUAACCUCUUCCUAAACUUAACCAAUUCAAAAAUGGACUAUCUCAAACUGAGGGUCCUAACCCUAAAAUUGAUCUACGCCAGUUAAAUUACUGGGGGAUGGCCGUGGGGAUCCGGGAGGAAGGUGACCGGGCUCAAGGCCCAUCGGGGUCCCUCUCAUGCUCACAUGCUCGGCCCAUAGCCCUCUAGCCCCAACCGCUGCCCCUGAACGCUUUUUCGCUACAUAUUAUCGCAAGCUAAGACCUAGACCUCAGUGGAAGAGUCAAAGACGGGCACUUGCAGGGAGUCGGUGCUGGUAGUCCGAAGGCCAUCCAAGCGGGAUGUAGUUGCCGGACCAGACCGUGAAAUUUAAUUGGAUAUUAGAUCAGGCGAACAGGACCAGUAUGGAGGGUGUUGUUGGUUGUGGGUUGGGUCAAGGAAGAAGGGGGUAGAGGGGGUUUCCCGCUGGCUCCUUUGUGGUCCGGACACCUCACCCUUCCCAGGACCUAACCAUAACCACUCGCCCCGGGAACUUAUGCAGUCGUAGAAUCGGUGCAUCACCUCCAAAAUAGGGUACCGUAGAGCCCAAAAUGAGGACUAAAAUAAGGGAUGGACAACUUAUCCAGCAUGGUCAAACCAGCGUUUCCAAGAGGAGAAACGCUGGGUCGGAUAAACUUAACCAAUUUGAAAAUGGACUAUCUCAAACCGAGGGUCCUAAUCCUAAAAUUGAUAUUUGGAAUACUUACCUGUUUGGAUUUAAAAACAAGAGCUGACGUCAUCGCAAAAGGAUGGUGAAGAACCGCCUCCCCAAAAAACUAAGAUCAGCCAUUGGAUCAUUGACCCGGAAGCGUAGUCACGUGGUCUAAAAAUAAAAGUAGGCGGAGACUCGGCCGCCCCCACCAUUUUGCCCAGCUGCUCGACGAGAGAGAAAAACAUCUCCUUAGCCGCUGAAGCCAACAUAAACAGUAAGACGGUUAAUUAACCACUUCACUAAUAAUAAUUAUUCGCUUCUUUACUUAUUUUUCAUGGUGCCCAAGCCUGAGGAAGACCCUAGAAGGUCGAAACGUCGCGACGGGCACUUUAUAGCGCUUCCUUUUUUUUCCUUUUUUUCUCCGUUUGGAAAUGACCUCAUUUGGUUACUUCUCGCCACUAGAGGGCAAUACAGCCCCGUACAUUACACAGGACACACAUAGGCCAAGAAGGGCACUCACACAAAAAGACAACACGUCGUUCUUUCUCUCUCUUUUUUCUUUCUUUAAUCAAAAACCAAGACUAAGAAAAGUGGAUAACAGUAAUAAAAAUAAGAAUACAUUUAUAGAAAAGAAAAACACAAAACAGCCUAAACAAAGGAGGUGACUCAAAAAAAGCAAAAACGUGCUGAAUAAAUAAAUAAAUAAAUAAACAACAAACCAAAAACAGCGUAAACAAAGGAGGUGACUCAAAAAAAAGCAAAAACGUGCCGAAUAAACAAGUCAAUAAACAACAAACCAAGCUUGGGAAUGAUGAAAGGACAAGUGGUUCGCUGUGGGCGAAGACACGCCCGGACUGACCCUAAAGCCAAGAGGUGCAGAUUCGGGGACCAACCGCCUCGGCACCGGGAGGGACGAGAACACUGGGGGAUGGACUGUGCAUUACCUCCUCCCAACAUAACGGGAGGAGAGAUCUUAUCGCUCGCCCUAACCAGCCCGUGCCUCUCCUGGUGUCCACGUUCUCGUUCUGACCGGUCCGGGGCCCGGUUUGGUCCCCCACUCCGCUCUGAUUCGUCGGUAGUCCAAACUGGACGCCCUAAAAAUAACAAAACACAUGGUGGAGAAUUCAACCUCCUAGACAAUUUAUAUCACCGAGUCCGAAUGCGCAGAACUUAUGCAGUCGUAGAAUCGGUGCAUCACCUCCAAAAUAGGGUACCGUAGAGCCCAAAAUGAGGACUAAAAUAAAGGAUGGACAACUUAUCCAGCAUGGUCAAACCAGCGUUUCCAAGAGGAGAAACGCUGGGUCGGAUCAUGGACAAUGCCAAAGGUUGGGGAACCGGGACGGAAGCCCAGCAGACCGACAGGAGGCUGAGUCGGCGAUCGCAACACCCGCAUCGGAAUCGACCGCGAGGGACGAGGAGAACACAAAUACAGUGACCUCGCUGCCAGUCUCAAAACCAGCUUCAGCUGCACAGCAGCAGGACAUCACGACGGCUGCGCCGACAUCGGAGGCCUCUCCCUCCACUGCCGCGAGGGGGGAUGGGAGUCCCCGAUCCGGUGCAACCCAGGACAACCCAACCACCGCCACAGUGGACUUUGACCCGCAAUAGACGGGGGAUGACAGCUACGGAAAAGACUGAGACGAUUGGAAUUGCCAGCAUGGUCAAACCAGCGUUUCCAAGAGGAGAAACGCUGGGUCGGAUCAUGGACAAUGCCAAAGGUUGGGGAACCGGGACGGAAGCCCAGCAGACCGACAGGAGGCUGAGUCGGCGAUCGCAACACCCGCAUCGGAAUCGACCGCGAGGGACGAGGAGAACACAAAUACAGUGACCUCGCUGCCAGUCUCAAAACCAGCUUCAGCUGCACAGCAGCAGGACAUCACGACGGCUGCGCCGACAUCGGAGGCCUCUCCCUCCACUGCCGCGAGGGGGGAUGGGAGUCCCCGAUCCGGUGCAACCCAGGACAACCCAACCACCGCCACAGUGGACUUUGACCCGCAAUAGACGGGGGAUGACAGCUACGGAAAAGACUGAGACGAUUGGAAUUGCCAGGUGAGAGCCCUCACGCAAAAAAACAUUGACUCCUACCUUUUUCGUUCCUUAAAGGGAUGCUACCCGAGCCAAGCCACGACAACCAAUCCUCAAAAAAAGUCCAAAGACAUUUGAGAAAGAAACAGUCUAACAACUAAUCCUAAACCUCUUCCUAAACUUAACCAAUCUCGAGUAUGAGCCCUAACCAUAAUCUUGGUCCCAGCGCCGAUUUUAGGCCUUUGUCGAAGCUUAAUCAGCAAAUAACAACUUACUCUAACCUCUUCCUAAACUUAACCAAUUCAAAAAUGGACUAUCUCAAACUGAGGGUCCUAACCCUAAAAUUGAUCUACGCCAGUUAAAUUACUGGGGGAUGGCCGUGGGGAUCCGGGAGGAAGGUGACCGGGCUCAAGGCCCAUCGGGGUCCCUCUCAUGCUCACAUGCUCGGCCCAUAGCCCUCUAGCCCCAACCGCUGCCCCUGAACGCUUUUUCGCUACAUAUUAUCGCAAGCUAAGACCUAGACCUCAGUGGAAGAGUCAAAGACGGGCACUUGCAGGGAGUCGGUGCUGGUAGUCCGAAGGCCAUCCAAGCGGGAUGUAGUUGCCGGACCAGACCGUGAAAUUUAAUUGGAUAUUAGAUCAGGCGAACAGGACCAGUAUGGAGGGUGUUGUUGGUUGUGGGUUGGGUCAAGGAAGAAGGGGGUAGAGGGGGUUUCCCGCUGGCUCCUUUGUGGUCCGGACACCUCACCCUUCCCAGGACCUAACCAUAACCACUCGCCCCGGGAACUUAUGCAGUCGUAGAAUCGGUGCAUCACCUCCAAAAUAGGGUACCGUAGAGCCCAAAAUGAGGACUAAAAUAAGGGAUGGACAACUUAUCCAGCAUGGUCAAACCAGCGUUUCCAAGAGGAGAAACGCUGGGUCGGAUAAACUUAACCAAUUUGAAAAUGGACUAUCUCAAACCGAGGGUCCUAAUCCUAAAAUUGAUAUUUGGAAUACUUACCUGUUUGGAUUUAAAAACAAGAGCUGACGUCAUCGCAAAAGGAUGGUGAAGAACCGCCUCCCCAAAAAACUAAGAUCAGCCAUUGGAUCAUUGACCCGGAAGCGUAGUCACGUGGUCUAAAAAUAAAAGUAGGCGGAGACUCGGCCGCCCCCACCAUUUUGCCCAGCUGCUCGACGAGAGAGAAAAACAUCUCCUUAGCCGCUGAAGCCAACAUAAACAGUAAGACGGUUAAUUAACCACUUCACUAAUAAUAAUUAUUCGCUUCUUUACUUAUUUUUCAUGGUGCCCAAGCCUGAGGAAGACCCUAGAAGGUCGAAACGUCGCGACGGGCACUUUAUAGCGCUUCCUUUUUUUUCCUUUUUUUCUCCGUUUGGAAAUGACCUCAUUUGGUUACUUCUCGCCACUAGAGGGCAAUACAGCCCCGUACAUUACACAGGACACACAUAGGCCAAGAAGGGCACUCACACAAAAAGACAACACGUCGUUCUUUCUCUCUCUUUUUUCUUUCUUUAAUCAAAAACCAAGACUAAGAAAAGUGGAUAACAGUAAUAAAAAUAAGAAUACAUUUAUAGAAAAGAAAAACACAAAACAGCCUAAACAAAGGAGGUGACUCAAAAAAAGCAAAAACGUGCUGAAUAAAUAAAUAAAUAAAUAAACAACAAACCAAAAACAGCGUAAACAAAGGAGGUGACUCAAAAAAAAGCAAAAACGUGCCGAAUAAACAAGUCAAUAAACAACAAACCAAGCUUGGGAAUGAUGAAAGGACAAGUGGUUCGCUGUGGGCGAAGACACGCCCGGACUGACCCUAAAGCCAAGAGGUGCAGAUUCGGGGACCAACCGCCUCGGCACCGGGAGGGACGAGAACACUGGGGGAUGGACUGUGCAUUACCUCCUCCCAACAUAACGGGAGGAGAGAUCUUAUCGCUCGCCCUAACCAGCCCGUGCCUCUCCUGGUGUCCACGUUCUCGUUCUGACCGGUCCGGGGCCCGGUUUGGUCCCCCACUCCGCUCUGAUUCGUCGGUAGUCCAAACUGGACGCCCUAAAAAUAACAAAACACAUGGUGGAGAAUUCAACCUCCUAGACAAUUUAUAUCACCGAGUCCGAAUGCGCAGAACUUAUGCAGUCGUAGAAUCGGUGCAUCACCUCCAAAAUAGGGUACCGUAGAGCCCAAAAUGAGGACUAAAAUAAAGGAUGGACAACUUAUCCAGCAUGGUCAAACCAGCGUUUCCAAGAGGAGAAACGCUGGGUCGGAUCAUGGACAAUGCCAAAGGUUGGGGAACCGGGACGGAAGCCCAGCAGACCGACAGGAGGCUGAGUCGGCGAUCGCAACACCCGCAUCGGAAUCGACCGCGAGGGACGAGGAGAACACAAAUACAGUGACCUCGCUGCCAGUCUCAAAACCAGCUUCAGCUGCACAGCAGCAGGACAUCACGACGGCUGCGCCGACAUCGGAGGCCUCUCCCUCCACUGCCGCGAGGGGGGAUGGGAGUCCCCGAUCCGGUGCAACCCAGGACAACCCAACCACCGCCACAGUGGACUUUGACCCGCAAUAGACGGGGGAUGACAGCUACGGAAAAGACUGAGACGAUUGGAAUUGCCAGGUGAGAGCCCUCACGCAAAAAAACAUUGACUCCUACCUUUUUCGUUCCUUAAAGGGAUGCUACCCGAGCCAAGCCACGACAACCAAUCCUCAAAAAAAGUCCAAAGACAUUUGAGAAAGAAACAGUCUAACAACUAAUCCUAAACCUCUUCCUAAACUUAACCAAUCUCGAGUAUGAGCCCUAACCAUAAUCUUGGUCCCAGCGCCGAUUUUAGGCCUUUGUCGAAGCUUAAUCAGCAAAUAACAACUUACUCUAACCUCUUCCUAAACUUAACCAAUUCAAAAAUGGACUAUCUCAAACUGAGGGUCCUAACCCUAAAAUUGAUCUACGCCAGUUAAAUUACUGGGGGAUGGCCGUGGGGAUCCGGGAGGAAGGUGACCGGGCUCAAGGCCCAUCGGGGUCCCUCUCAUGCUCACAUGCUCGGCCCAUAGCCCUCUAGCCCCAACCGCUGCCCCUGAACGCUUUUUCGCUACAUAUUAUCGCAAGCUAAGACCUAGACCUCAGUGGAAGAGUCAAAGACGGGCACUUGCAGGGAGUCGGUGCUGGUAGUCCGAAGGCCAUCCAAGCGGGAUGUAGUUGCCGGACCAGACCGUGAAAUUUAAUUGGAUAUUAGAUCAGGCGAACAGGACCAGUAUGGAGGGUGUUGUUGGUUGUGGGUUGGGUCAAGGAAGAAGGGGGUAGAGGGGGUUUCCCGCUGGCUCCUUUGUGGUCCGGACACCUCACCCUUCCCAGGACCUAACCAUAACCACUCGCCCCGGGAACUUAUGCAGUCGUAGAAUCGGUGCAUCACCUCCAAAAUAGGGUACCGUAGAGCCCAAAAUGAGGACUAAAAUAAGGGAUGGACAACUUAUCCAGCAUGGUCAAACCAGCGUUUCCAAGAGGAGAAACGCUGGGUCGGAUAAACUUAACCAAUUUGAAAAUGGACUAUCUCAAACCGAGGGUCCUAAUCCUAAAAUUGAUAUUUGGAAUACUUACCUGUUUGGAUUUAAAAACAAGAGCUGACGUCAUCGCAAAAGGAUGGUGAAGAACCGCCUCCCCAAAAAACUAAGAUCAGCCAUUGGAUCAUUGACCCGGAAGCGUAGUCACGUGGUCUAAAAAUAAAAGUAGGCGGAGACUCGGCCGCCCCCACCAUUUUGCCCAGCUGCUCGACGAGAGAGAAAAACAUCUCCUUAGCCGCUGAAGCCAACAUAAACAGUAAGACGGUUAAUUAACCACUUCACUAAUAAUAAUUAUUCGCUUCUUUACUUAUUUUUCAUGGUGCCCAAGCCUGAGGAAGACCCUAGAAGGUCGAAACGUCGCGACGGGCACUUUAUAGCGCUUCCUUUUUUUUCCUUUUUUUCUCCGUUUGGAAAUGACCUCAUUUGGUUACUUCUCGCCACUAGAGGGCAAUACAGCCCCGUACAUUACACAGGACACACAUAGGCCAAGAAGGGCACUCACACAAAAAGACAACACGUCGUUCUUUCUCUCUCUUUUUUCUUUCUUUAAUCAAAAACCAAGACUAAGAAAAGUGGAUAACAGUAAUAAAAAUAAGAAUACAUUUAUAGAAAAGAAAAACACAAAACAGCCUAAACAAAGGAGGUGACUCAAAAAAAGCAAAAACGUGCUGAAUAAAUAAAUAAAUAAAUAAACAACAAACCAAAAACAGCGUAAACAAAGGAGGUGACUCAAAAAAAAGCAAAAACGUGCCGAAUAAACAAGUCAAUAAACAACAAACCAAGCUUGGGAAUGAUGAAAGGACAAGUGGUUCGCUGUGGGCGAAGACACGCCCGGACUGACCCUAAAG